CAUGCAAGUCGAACGAGAAUCUACUGAAAGAGUUUUCGGACAAUGGAUGUAGAGGAAAGUGGCGGACGGGUGAGUAACGCGUGAGGAACCUGCCUUGAAGAGGGGGACAACAGUUGGAAACGACUGCUAAUACCGCAUGACGCAUAGAGGUCGCAUGAUCUUUAUGCCAAAGAUUUAUCGCUUCAAGAUGGCCUCGCGUCUGAUUAGCUAGUUGGCGGGGUAACGGCCCACCAAGGCGACGAUCAGUAGCCGGACUGAGAGGUUGAACGGCCACAUUGGGACUGAGAUACGGCCCAGACUCCUACGGGAGGCAGCAGUGGGGAAUAUUGGGCAAUGGGCGCAAGCCUGACCCAGCAACGCCGCGUGAAGGAAGAAGGCUUUCGGGUUGUAAACUUCUUUUAAGAGGGAAGAGCAGAAGACGGUACCUCUAGAAUAAGCCACGGCUAACUACGUGCCAGCAGCCGCGGUAAUACGUAGGUGGCAAGCGUUGUCCGGAUUUACUGGGUGUAAAGGGCGUGCAGCCGGGUCUGCAAGUCAGAUGUGAAAUCCAUGGGCUCAACCCAUGAACUGCAUUUGAAACUGUAGAUCUUGAGUGUCGGAGGGGCAAUCGGAAUUCCUAGUGUAGCGGUGAAAUGCGUAGAUAUUAGGAGGAACACCAGUGGCGAAGGCGGAUUGCUGGACGAUAACUGACGGUGAGGCGCGAAAGUGUGGGGAGCAAACAGGAUUAGAUACCCUGGUAGUCCACACUGUAAACGAUGAAUACUAGGUGUGCGGGGACUGACCCCCUGCGUGCCGCAGUAAACACAAUAAGUAUUCCACCUGGGGAGUACGAUCGCAAGGUUGAAACUCAAAGGAAUUGACGGGGGCCCGCACAAGCGGUGGAUUAUGUGGUUUAACUCG
Molecule: ribosomal RNA, 900 nt
Filed under: uncultured bacterium
Lineage: Bacteria
Description: bacterial SSU rRNA
Rfam family: Bacterial small subunit ribosomal RNA
Source: RNAcentral